This 554-nucleotide long non-coding RNA is filed under the name Lactuca sativa (garden lettuce). RNAcentral's name for it is "long non-coding RNA (LSAT_LNC003446)". Lineage: Eukaryota; Viridiplantae; Streptophyta; Magnoliopsida; Asterales; Asteraceae. The record is from RNAcentral.
AGGUAGAGGGCUGGCAUCAUUAGGAACUCUUCAGCAGCUGAUAGCAAAGAAGUGGGAGGACAGCGGAAGGGACUAGGGAGUAAACCUAGCCAGAUGAGUGCGCUGGUAGAGUAGAGGAUUUCGCUGGAAAGCGAGCACGCGCGAUGAGAUGGGUGAAAGAGCAGGUUUAUCAGCUACUUAGGAACUCUGGGAUGGUCCGUGUGGAAAGUAUGGGUAGAUGUGGCAGGUAGUAUGGGCCCGUACUACUGAAAGCAGAGGACCCAUACUUGAUACAGGGGGCAUUCUAAAGGUCCUAAGGAACAGAUUGAGGGGUGAUGUUAUGGUUCGGAUACCAUACAUCGGAGCGGAUACAGAGUGAUGUUAUGGUCCGGGCACCAUACAUCGGAACAGAUUGAGAUAGAUGUUGUGGUCCGAGUGCUAUACAUUGGAGCAGAUUGAGGAGUGGUGCUAUGGUUCAGGUACCAUACACUGAAGCAUGUUGAGGAGGGAUGUCAUGGGAUGAGUACCAUGGUUCGUAGUGGAUGAUGCUUGUGGCUAUCUUGUUAUCCGGUUAU